GUCACUCAAUAUCAAAUACAUACCACCCGUUUCGACCUGACAAAUUGUCCCAACAUAUUGUUUGGAGGUUUUUAUCAUUUUCUUAUCAGUCAAUUCUUGGUUUACAGUCAGUGAUAUUUUAAAACUGGAGGAAGAUGAGUUCCAGUGAAAUUAAGUGUCUUACCCAGGUCAAAAGAACAAGUAAAUAGGAAGCCUGGACUCCACCCUAAGUAGUCAAAUAGAGUAUGCAUGCCGGUAUAUCACACUGACUGGAGCAGAAAGCCUAUUUGUCACUAGGCCCCAUCGCCUCUACAAAGAAUUUCCAUACUUCCUCCAUAUCUAAGAAAAGUUACAAAAUAAAGGAGGCCGGACCCAGACCUGGGGCAGGUCACUUCACCUGUGCUGUGGCAGCGCUCCAGGGACUCCUGGCUGGCUUCGCAGCAACAGCUGGGGCGGGACCUGGGUCCCAGUCCUACCGCCCUGCGCCAGGGCCUCUGCAACAGUGACAGCCACAGCAGCUAGAACUUAACAUUUUUAAUACAAGGACAAAAACAACCUCGAAAACUUACCAACUGUUUGAUGAGAUUGCCCCUGUGUUACCUUUAUUAUCGUUCAGGUUUGAAAAAAGAUUGAUUCUAAAAAGGAAUGAUAGA
This is a long non-coding RNA of Myotis davidii, 632 nucleotides long. RefSeq lists it as uncharacterized. The record is from RefSeq and is a predicted model, not a curated record. The transcript has 3 exons. Lineage: Eukaryota; Metazoa; Chordata; Mammalia; Chiroptera; Vespertilionidae.